UACGGAGGGUGCAAGCGUUGUUCGGAAUUACUGGGCGUAAAGCGCGCGUAGGCGGCUUUUUAAGUCAGAUGUGAAAGUCCAUGGCUCAACCAUGGGAGUGCAUUUGAUACUGAAAGGCUUGAGUACUGGAGGGGAUGGUGGAAUUCCCGGUGUAGAGGUGAAAUUCGUAGAUAUCGGGAGGAAUACCGGUGGCGAAGGCGACCAUCUGGCCAGAUACUGACGCUGAGGUGCGAAAGCGUGGGGAGCAAAC
This 250-nucleotide ribosomal RNA is filed under the name uncultured bacterium. Its description in RNAcentral is "partial 16S ribosomal RNA". It matches the Rfam family "Bacterial small subunit ribosomal RNA", at positions 524 to 773 of the family's 1533-position model. The record is from RNAcentral.